GGGCGUGCUAAUCUGCGAUAAGCGCCGGUAAGGUGAUAUGAACCGUUAUAACCGGCGAUACCCGAAUGGGGAAACCCAGUGUGACUCGUCACACUAUCAUUAACUGAAUCCAUAGGUUAAUGAGGCGAACCGGGGGAACUGAAACAUCUAAGUACCCCGAGGAAAAGAAAUCAACCGAGAUUCCCCCAGUAGCGGCGAGCGAACGGGGAGGAGCCCAGAGCCUGAAUCAGCAUGUGUGUUAGUGGAAGCGUCUGGAAAGGCGCGCGAUACAGGGUGACAGCCCCGUACACAAAAGCGCAUGUGCUGUGAGCUCGAUGAGUAGGGCGGGACACGUGGUAUCCUGUCUGAAUAUGGGGGGACCAUCCUCCAAGGCUAAAUACUCCUGACU
Molecule: ribosomal RNA, 388 nt
Filed under: Salmonella enterica subsp. enterica serovar Abaetetuba
Lineage: Bacteria; Pseudomonadati; Pseudomonadota; Gammaproteobacteria; Enterobacterales; Enterobacteriaceae
Description: partial 23S ribosomal RNA
Rfam family: Bacterial large subunit ribosomal RNA
Source: RNAcentral